This 232-nucleotide long non-coding RNA is filed under the name Medicago truncatula (barrel medic). Its description in RNAcentral is "long non-coding RNA (MTRU_LNC003657)". Lineage: Eukaryota; Viridiplantae; Streptophyta; Magnoliopsida; Fabales; Fabaceae. The record is from RNAcentral.
GUAAGUUUCAUCAAUUACCCCCCUGAAAUUAACAAAACUUCAAUUACCCCCCUGAAAUUUCACAACGUUAGUCAAUUUACCCCUCCGUCAAAUUUUUCUGUUAGUGAACAUGACGUUUUGCAAAUACCCCCCUGAAGUUUUGCACUUAUGUGCAAAAUGUCCCCCAAACUUAAAAAUUUAUAUUAUUUUUUUCUUAAAAACAAACAAUUAAUAGUUAAAUAUUAAAACUAAC